AUUCCAGCUCCAAUAGCGUAUAUUAAUGUUGUUGCAGUUAAAAAGCUCGUAGUUGGAUUCCUGGCACGGGGUAGCCGGUCCGCCUUGCAAAAGGUGCGCACUGAGCGGCCUCGGCCAUCCUUGCGAUGGUCUAUCCUGGCAUUCAGUUGUCGGGGUGGGGAUUCGCGACGUUUACUGUGAAAAAUCAGAGUGUUCAACGCAGGCUUACGCCUUGAAUACAUUAGCAUGGAAUAAUGAGAUAGGACCUUGGCGGUCUAUUUUGUUGGUUUGCACGCCGAGGUAAUGAUUAAAAGGGACGGUUGGGGUUCUUCGUAUUCAAUUGUCAGAGGUGAAAUUCUUGGACUUAUGGAAGACGAACUGCUGCGAAAGCGUCGGACAAGGACGUUCUCAUUG
Molecule: ribosomal RNA, 393 nt
Filed under: Aureococcus sp.
Lineage: Eukaryota; Pelagophyceae; Pelagomonadales; Pelagomonadaceae
Description: partial small subunit ribosomal RNA
Rfam family: Eukaryotic small subunit ribosomal RNA
Source: RNAcentral